UACGUAGGGACCAAGCGUUGUUCGGAUUUACUGGGCGUAAAGGGCGCGUAGGCGGCAAUUCAAGUCAUCUGUGAAAUCUCCGGGCUUAACCCGGAACGGUCAGAUGAUACUGCUUUGCUAGAGUGCGGAAGGGGCAAUCGGAAUUCUCGGUGUAGCGGUGAAAUGCGUAGAGAUGUGGAGGAACACCGAUGGCGAAGGCAGCCUCCUGGGCCAGCACUGACGCUCAUGCACGAAAGCGUGGGGAGCAAACAGG
RNAcentral lists this ribosomal RNA (253 nucleotides) under uncultured bacterium. RNAcentral describes it as "partial 16S ribosomal RNA". It matches the Rfam family "Bacterial small subunit ribosomal RNA", at positions 524 to 776 of the family's 1533-position model. The record is from RNAcentral.